RNAcentral lists this ribosomal RNA (484 nucleotides) under uncultured bacterium. RNAcentral describes it as "partial 16S ribosomal RNA". It matches the Rfam family "Bacterial small subunit ribosomal RNA", at positions 28 to 507 of the family's 1533-position model. The record is from RNAcentral.
AUUGAACGCUGGCGGCAUGCUUUACACAUGCAAGUCGAACGGCAGCGCGGGCUUCGGCCUGGCGGCGAGUGGCGAACGGGUGAGUAAUGCAUCGGAACGUGCCCAGUAGUGGGGGAUAGCCCGGCGAAAGCCGGAUUAAUACCGCAUACGACCUGAGGGUGAAAGCGGGGGACCGAAAGGCCUCGCGCUAUUGGAGCGGCCGAUGUCGGAUUAGCUAGUUGGUGGGGUAAAGGCUUACCAAGGCGACGAUCCGUAGCUGGUCUGAGAGGAGGACCAGCCACACUGGGACUGGGACACGGCCCAGACUCCUACGGGAGGCAGCAGUGGGGAAUUUUGGACAAUGGGGGCAACCCUGAUCCAGCCAUGCCGCGUGCGGGAAGAAGGCCUUCGGGUUGUAAACCGCUUUUGUUCGGGAAGAAAUCCUCUGGGCUAAUACCCCGGGGGGAUGACGGUACCGGAAGAAUAAGCACCGGCUAACUACGUG